UACGGAGGGGGCUAGCGUUGUUCGGAAUUACUGGGCGUAAAGCGCGCGUAGGCGGCUUUGUAAGUUAGAGGUGAAAGCCCGGGGCUCAACCCCGGGUCGGCCAUGCGAACUGGGGAACUGGAGCCUGUCAGAGGCAAGCGGAAUUCCGGGUGUAGCGGUGGAAUGCGUAGAGAUCCGGAAGAACACCGGUGGCGAAGGCGGCUUGCUGGGACAGUGCUGACGCUGAAGCGCGACAGCGUGGGGAGCAAACAGG
This 253-nucleotide ribosomal RNA is filed under the name uncultured bacterium. RNAcentral describes it as "partial 16S ribosomal RNA". It matches the Rfam family "Bacterial small subunit ribosomal RNA", at positions 524 to 776 of the family's 1533-position model. The record is from RNAcentral.